GGUCUGAUGGUCUAGAGGUAUGAUUCUCUCUUAGGGUGGGAGAGGUCCCGGGUUCAAUCCCCGGUCAGACCC
RNAcentral lists this transfer RNA (72 nucleotides) under Rhodotorula toruloides. Its description in RNAcentral is "tRNA-Pro (AGG) cove score=59.13". It matches the Rfam family "tRNA". Rfam says of the family: Transfer RNA (tRNA) molecules are approximately 80 nucleotides in length. Their secondary structure includes four short double-helical elements and three loops (D, anti-codon, and T loops). Lineage: Eukaryota; Fungi; Basidiomycota; Microbotryomycetes; Sporidiobolales; Sporidiobolaceae. The record is from RNAcentral. RNAcentral also lists the same sequence under 2 other names.